GACGAAACGCACUAGUAAAUACUAUUUAUAACGUUAAUCGUUGUAAAAUUGAUCGCGACGGGUUUUUAUUCGCGAUAUAUUACAGGAUCCCCACGUUUCCGAUGCACAAUGAAUAAACAAAACAAAUCGCUUUUUACUUAUUAAUAUAAUAACAUCAGAUGUGUAUUAUGUUUCGCGAAUUUUCACUCGACGCGACGCCAAGCCAUGAUAAUAACAAUAAUGCGA
Molecule: non-coding RNA, 225 nt
Organism: Cinara cedri
Lineage: Eukaryota; Metazoa; Arthropoda; Insecta; Hemiptera; Aphididae
Source: the annotation of a GenBank genome assembly